GUCCAGAUAAAAUUCUGGAGAGACACUGAGCAUCCAGAAGGGUCCCAAGGACAUCAAUCUUUCCACCCAUGGGCAGUGCUCAAGUGCCCUCUUUUCUGAAGUGUUUUUAUUUUUUCCUUUUGGAGAGCAGCUCAUCCUGCCUGUCAGUAGAGCAAGACUGACCUUGUGGCCCUCACCACCCCUGACUCCCCGACUCCCAACAGGCUAUGUCCUUCAUUUAGCAGAACUCUAAACACUACCUUCUCCCUUCUAAUGAGAAGGAGGCUCGGCUCUGACAGACCUGGAGCACCUGGGUAAGUGCCAUUCACAGAAGGGGAAGACCCUCAAUAGCUCACUUUUUUUUUUUUUUUCCAGACCACAUAUGGGAAGCAAGACCAGCAUCAGGAAGGUUCUAGAACUCACUUUACCACCUCCAGAAUUCUCUCUUCUCCAAAUUCAUUCUCAAGACUUCACCACUGCACAGAGGAGGAAUAUGCUGAGGUUGUGUCUGGGUCCAGUCCCCACCCCACAGCCAGCUGAGGGACCACUAGGAACCACUGUGAGAAUCAGGAAGAAUGCUCCUUCCUCUGCACAGAUCCACUUCUGUGCAAGGCCACUCAAGAUUUGGAGGAGAAGCUGGGACUGGCCAUCAGCCCCCACUUCACCUCUGUCAACCCAACACUUGGGGACCAUGAUAUCACACUUCCAAAGUCCUUACCCCACGCGGGCCCCUAAUGUUUAAUGUGAGUUCCUUAUAGUCCCACAGAACCUCUCACUAAAUACUCACCCCAUUUGAAUACCUGAGUCUCUGUGCCUGGAAUCUCAUUUCCCUACUCUACCCAGUGAACAUCUAUUCAUCCUUCAGAACCCAACUAGAUGUGCCCUCCUCUGUGAAGCCCCUGCCUGUCCCCCACCCCCUGCAAAGCUAGUAGCACCACCUCAGAGCCUAAUCCUACCUGUUCCCCAGAGUUCAUGGGUUGGUCCCAGAAUCCUGCUACCUAGAACCCACUGUCCCACCCCAACCCCAAAGGCAGAAUACGCCAUCAAAUCCUGUAUGACUUGUCCCCUAACUUGCCAGCCCCUCUGGAACCCCACUGGGAUUCUCCCCUCCCACAACCUUACAGAUUUAAGGCAGAAUGGGAAACUGGAAAUCCAAGUAGCCCAGAAGCUCCCCACCCCCACUCUGCCCUCACAGGAGCUGGUCCUGACCGAAGAUUCCCAGCACAUCUGGUUGUACUUAAAUCAUCCAGCACUGGACUGGGCUGCCUGGGCAGGUUCCCGCUUCUCUCCCUCCUGCCCUUGACUCCUCCCCUUCCUAGCCCAGCCUGCCAGCUCUCUCCUCCAGGAGGCCUUCCCUGACUGGCCUAGCCUCUGUACCUACACCCUUGACUAUCUCUCUGGGUUGAGGGUCUAGAGGGUGCACGCUCAGCAAGGCUUGGUGUGUGGGCCCCCAUCCUGCCUAAGCACCGAUCCUGUAUAGAAACCAUCCCUCCAGACAGGGAGGGGAGCCAACCAAGUUCCUCCCCUCUGCUCCCUUAAUCUCUAGGGUGGUUGCCCUCAGCAUCUGGUGGUGUAGCAGGGAGGGAAUCGGUUCCUUCAGUGCCUUGGUUCAGAUAGACAGCCAGCAGAUCCUGCUGCCGUCAUUGUCCAAAAGUCUCAUAAAAUAUUACGAAAGGGGAAGAGCCUGACAUGGUGGUGUACACACCUCUAGCCGCAGCACCCAAGAGAUUCCUUCAGCCCAGGGGUUUGUGCUUCGUGGUCACCAUGGACAACAUAGGAAAAAAAAGAAAGAAAGAAAGGAGGUGGGGAGGGGUAAUAAAUGCAGAUAAUAUAGCA
Long non-coding RNA from Marmota marmota marmota (Alpine marmot), 1815 nucleotides. The record is from Ensembl. NCBI's taxonomy places the organism in Eukaryota, Metazoa, Chordata, Mammalia, Rodentia, Sciuridae.